This is a long non-coding RNA of Topomyia yanbarensis, 312 nucleotides long. RefSeq lists it as uncharacterized. The transcript is spliced from 3 exons. The record is from RefSeq and is a predicted model, not a curated record. NCBI's taxonomy places the organism in Eukaryota, Metazoa, Arthropoda, Insecta, Diptera, Culicidae.
UGGUAUCUCUGGCUGGAGUAGGAACAAAGUUUUGAUUUGUUUUUGAGUCCAGAUCAAACUAUUUGAAUUCAGUUUGUGGCUAAUAUAUUCCAUCCGAGCUACAGAAAGCAAUUAAUUUUAGCGGUAAAGAGGAAAUCUAUUAUAUCAAAUGUAUCCAUUGCAUAAAUAGAAAGAGAAAUUUCUGAAUCUCCUGGUGUUUGCUAAAUCAAUGUCGCCAACUAUACGUGUUGCGAUCUCUCUGCACUUCAUCUUAUUUGCUAUCUAGUUUUAAGUAAUGAAGAGCGAAAUUAGGAACUGGCGCGAUGACAGAAA